UAAAAUAAAAAAAGAUAAUUUCGGAGAAAAUCAUAAAAAAAACCAUGCGGAGAAACACUGUAGCAAUCAACAAUGUUUUAAAGAAAAAAAAUUACAAAAAAAAUUCUCAAUCAGCUCCAUAUUAAAAAAAAUCAACAAAUAUAAUUUUAAAAAAUAAAGAAAUAAAAUAGAAAAACUAUGUGGAAAAACAUCGUAGCAAUCCACAGUAUUUAAAAAAAAAAUUACAAAGCAAAAAUUUUAACCAGGUCAAUAUUUAAAAAGUAAAAUCAACAAAACUAAUUUUGGAAAAAAUAAAUGAAAAAAAA
RNAcentral lists this long non-coding RNA (305 nucleotides) under Populus trichocarpa (black cottonwood). Its description in RNAcentral is "long non-coding RNA (PTRI_LNC001798)". Lineage: Eukaryota; Viridiplantae; Streptophyta; Magnoliopsida; Malpighiales; Salicaceae. The record is from RNAcentral.